Molecule: long non-coding RNA, 1050 nt
Filed under: Zostera marina
Lineage: Eukaryota; Viridiplantae; Streptophyta; Magnoliopsida; Alismatales; Zosteraceae
Description: long non-coding RNA (ZMAR_LNC000574)
Source: RNAcentral
CCAUUCAUCCCACUUCCAUAAUCAAACCAAGACCUCUUCUCUACCGUCUACUGUCUCUAAUACUCUACCCAAAAACCCCUCCCCAAAAAACCCACCCAAACCAAAAACCCCUUCCCUAACAUACUUAUAACCAAACCGACUAACAUGUCUCCUUCUUCCAAUUUAGUACGUGUAUGUAGCUUCGCUUGUUUCCUUGUGUUUCGAUGUUCUGUUCUGUUUCGGUGGUUGUUUGGUUUUGAGUUCUUGUUGUUCAGUGUAGUUCCGGUGACUACUCGAUGACUGGUAUUUUAUGUUGUUUUUGUGUUCAGUUCUGGUUUCGGUGGUUGCUCGGCUUUCUAUUCUGCUUGUACGUGUUUCUGGUUAUCCUUGUUUCUGGUAUUCUGACCAAAUAGGUACUGUUUUCCGCUAUUGUUUUCAAUUUAUUCUUAUCCGUUACCAGUUCAGUUCCAUUGACUAUUCGAUGACUGGUAUGUUCUGGUGUGUCGGUGUUCAGUUUGGUUUUGGUGGCUGCUCGGCUUAAUAAUCUGUUUGUCCGUGUUUCUGAUUAUUCUUCUUUCUGGUAUUAUGACCAAAUAGAUACUGUUUUCCGCUCUUGAUCUUCGAUUUAUUCUUAUCGGUUACCCGUUCAGUUCAGUUUCGUUGACAACUCGAUGACUGGUAUGUUCUGGUGUGUUGGUGUUCAAUUUGGUUUCGGUGCGAUUACAUCCUCCUCCCUCCAAUUCUGAAACAGCUCGAUCUCGCAUUGCAUGCAAUAUACGUGCUCGAUCUCCCUCCCGAUAACCUGUUUUCAGAUUCAAUAGAGCCGGAAAAGAGGAGAAAACGAUGGAUGUCACAGCAAUGGUGAGACCUGUGAAUGGCGGCGGCGGUGGUGGUGGUGGAUAUGGAUGCGUUAAUUUCUGGGUAUAGCAGUGAGGAAUUAAGCUAGAACUGUAUGUGCUUCCGAGACACAGCAAGGUUGUAGUCACAGAGAAUAAUAGCGGACUAAGUCGGUUCUUGUAGGGUUACAAGGCGUGGUUAAGAAGGCCGUUGGACUUGGAAGGUGGCAUUGGC